GGCCUCAAGUGAUGUGUGACUACC
Molecule: ribosomal RNA, 24 nt
Filed under: Anopheles sawadwongporni
Lineage: Eukaryota; Metazoa; Arthropoda; Insecta; Diptera; Culicidae
Description: partial 28S ribosomal RNA
Source: RNAcentral